UGUGAGCCGGGCGAGGCUGUGGGCCUGCUGGCUGCCCAGAGCAUCGGAGAGCCCUCCACCCAGAUGACCCUCAACACCUUCCACUUUGCAGGCAGAGGCGAGAUGAACGUCACCCUGGGCAUUCCAAGGCCUGGUAGGAUCUCCAUUUAUUCCUCUGCCAACUCCUGCAUCCAAGUUCCUGGGGAUGCCCGUGAGACUGCACACUGCUGGGGGAAGGACUCAGGAACGUACAUUGUUAACAAGCCCCACACAAGGUGCCUGGUUGCCCAACUCCAGGGGAACCAUUCACAUAGAACGUGGCCCCACGUGGCCCUGGGCCCUGGCCCUUCAGGUUGCGGGAGAUUCUCAUGGUGGCCAGCGCCAACAUCAAGACACCCAUGAUGCGCGUGCCCGUGCUCAACACCAAGAAAGCCCUGAAGAGAGUGAAAAGCCUGAAGAAGCAACUCACCAGGGUGUGCUUGGGGGAGGU
This 469-nucleotide small RNA is filed under the name Pan troglodytes (chimpanzee). RNAcentral describes it as "processed transcript". Lineage: Eukaryota; Metazoa; Chordata; Mammalia; Primates; Hominidae. The record is from RNAcentral.